RNAcentral lists this ribosomal RNA (460 nucleotides) under uncultured bacterium. RNAcentral describes it as "partial 16S ribosomal RNA". It matches the Rfam family "Bacterial small subunit ribosomal RNA", at positions 338 to 795 of the family's 1533-position model. The record is from RNAcentral.
CCUACGGGAGGCAGCAGUGAGGAAUAUUGGUCAAUGGGCUUACGCCUGAACCAGCCAAGUCGCGUGAGGGAAGACUGCCCUAUGGGUUGUAAACCUCUUUUGUCAGGGAGCAACGCCGGCUACGUGUAGCCGGACUGAGAGUACCUGAAGAAAAAGCAUCGGCUAACUCCGUGCCAGCAGCCGCGGUAAUACGGAGGAUGCGAGCGUUAUCCGGAUUUAUUGGGUUUAAAGGGUGCGUAGGCGGAAUGCCAAGUCAGCGGUAAAAGCGCGGGGCUCAACCUCGCUCCGCCGUUGAAACUGGCGUUCUUGAGUGGGCGAGAAGUAUGCGGAAUGCGUGGGGUAGCGGUGAAAUGCAUAGAUAUCACGCAGAACUCCGAUUGCGAAGGCAGCAUACCGGCGCCCAACUGACGCUGAAGCACGAAAGCGUGGGUAUCGAACAGGAUUAGAUACCCCGGUAGUC